Molecule: ribosomal RNA, 497 nt
Filed under: uncultured bacterium
Lineage: Bacteria
Description: partial 16S ribosomal RNA
Rfam family: Bacterial small subunit ribosomal RNA
Source: RNAcentral
GAUGAACGCUGGCGGCGUGCCUAAUACAUGCAAGUCGAGCGAACGGACGAGAAGCUUGCUUCUCUGAUGUUAGCGGCGGACGGGUGAGUAACACGUGGAUAACCUACCUAUAAGACUGGGAUAACUUCGGGAAACCGGAGCUAAUACCGGAUAAUAUUUUGAACCGCAUGGUUCAAAAGUGAAAGACGGUCUUGCUGUCACUUAUAGAUGGAUCCGCGCUGCAUUAGCUAGUUGGUAAGGUAACGGCUUACCAAGGCAACGAUGCAUAGCCGACCUGAGAGGGUGAUCGGCCACACUGGAACUGAGACACGGUCCAGACUCCUACGGGAGGCAGCAGUAGGGAAUCUUCCGCAAAGGGCGAAAGCCUGACGUAGCAACGCCGCGUGAGUGAUGAAGGUCUUCGGAUCGUAAAACUCUGUUAUUAGGGAAGAACAUAUGUGUAAGUAACUGUGCACAUCUUGACGGUACCUAAUCAGAAAGCCACGGCUAACUACGUG